GUGUUUCUUUGGAUGAAUGGUGUGGAAAUGUGGUGGUAAAUGGUCCAAUGAUGAUGAGUUAAGGUAUGGAUGGGAUAGAAGCUCAAAGCCUCUAGGAGAUAUGGUGGUGGUGGUGUAGUGUUUGGUGGCUCCAAGAGAGGUUAGGCCAACUCAAGGAGGAAGGUGACUAGAGGGGCCUCAUGGGUUGCUCUAGUCUUGAUCUAAGAUGAGU
This 211-nucleotide long non-coding RNA is filed under the name Vigna radiata. Its description in RNAcentral is "long non-coding RNA (VRAD_LNC010050)". The record is from RNAcentral. Lineage: Eukaryota; Viridiplantae; Streptophyta; Magnoliopsida; Fabales; Fabaceae.